Molecule: long non-coding RNA, 672 nt
Filed under: Nicotiana benthamiana
Lineage: Eukaryota; Viridiplantae; Streptophyta; Magnoliopsida; Solanales; Solanaceae
Description: long non-coding RNA (NBEN_LNC003365)
Source: RNAcentral
UGGUCUUGUUAGGGGUACCAUAUCUUUUCUCAAUUUGGGACCAUAUACUCUGUGCAGUAUCGGAAUACUGCACACUAUCAGCAAUUUGAGGAGACAGAGAGGAGGUCAACCAGGAAAUGACCAUGUUAUUACACCUAUCCCACGGUCUCUAUUGAGCCACAUUAGUGGUAGGACGAGGACAUGAACCGUCAACAAAUCCGAUUUUAUUAUUAGCAUAUAAAGCAACAAUCAUCUUACGCCUCGAGCCCCCAUAACCACUACCCGAGAAGGGAGUGGGAACAAGAGAGACCCCAGGGACAUCAGAGGAAUAUACAAAAAGGGGACUGGUAGAAUCUAUUGAGGCGGAGGCACCAGCAUUCGUAUUAGAAGCCAUAAUCAAACCAGAUAUUCACACACAAAACCAGAUAUUCACACACAAAACUAGAUACUCACAUACGGAGCCAGAUAAUCACACACAAAGCAUACAAUACUCGAGAUAAGGAAAGAGUUACCCUCCUUCUUCACGACCGGAGAAGAUCGGCCUUCAAUCAAACAGAGAAAACCCUAGGUGCAACCGUCGAAAGCCUUACUGUAAGUAUGGUCAGGGAUGUCGGAAAGUCACCCAAAACAUCCACUGAGUGAGAAUCGAGCCACCGGAUAGCAGUAAAACUCUAGGUUAAACCACCAGAAACC